AGUAAAUAAACAUAAUGAGCAAAAAAGAGGUAAAAGUAGAAUGGUAAUAGAUUAUAGGAAUUUAAAUGCAAAAACAAAAAUAUAUAAUUACCCGAUACCAAAUAAAAUAUUAAAAAUAAGGCAAGUACAAGGAUAUAAUUACUUCAGUAAAUUCGAUUGUAAAUCAGGAUUUUAUCACCUAAAAUUAGAAGAAGAAUCUAAAAAAUUAACAGCUUUUACAGUACCACAAGGAUUUUAUGAAUGGAACGUUUUACCAUUUGGAUAUAAAAAUGCACCAGGAAGAUACCAACAUUUUAUGGAUAGCUAUUUUAAUCAAUUAGAAAACUGUAUAAUCUACAUAGACGAUAUACUACUAUACUCAAGGACACAAGAACAACAUAUAAAAUUAUUAUUAGAAAAAUUCAUACAUAUAAUAGAAUCCUCAGGAAUUAGCCUUAGUAAAAAUAAGGCAGAAAUACUUAAAAAUCAGGUAGAAUUGGNGAAUUCAAAUAGAUAAAAAUGGAAUUAAAAUGCAAAUACAUAUAGUACAAAAAAUAAUAAAUUUAAAUGAAACCCUAGAUACAAAAAAGAAAUUACAAUCAUUCUUAGGAUUAGUUAACCAAGUUAGAGAAUAUAUACCUAAAUUGGCAGAAAAUUUAAAACCUUUACAGAAAAAAUUAAAGAAAGAUAUAGAAUAUCACUUUGAUGAAAAAGACAAAAGAUAUAUACAAAAAAUAAAAGAUAUGUGUAAAAAAUUACCAAAACUAUAUUUUCCAGAUGAAAAUAGAGAAUUUAUAUAUAUAGUAGAGACAGACUCAAGUAACCAUAGUUAUGGAGGAGUACUUAAAUACAAAUAUAAGGAUGAAAAAAUAGAACAUCACUGUAGAUAUUAUUCAGGAUCAUUUACGGAACCACAGUUAAAAUGGGAAAUAAAUAGAAAAGAAUUAUUAGCUUUAUAUAAGUGUUUAUUAUCGUUUGAACCAUAUAUAGUAUAUAACAAAUUUAUUGUUAGAACAGAUAACACACAAGUUAAAUGGUGGAUAACCAAAAAGGUACAAGACUCAGUUACAACGAAAGAAAUACGAAGACUCGUAUUAAAUAUACUAAAUUUCACAUUUACAAUAGAAAUAAUUCCUACUGACAAGAAUGUGAUUGCAGAUUACUUAUCAAGACAAAAGUACACAAACAAAUGAAGAAGAAACUACACAAGACCUAUUUUCAAUACUUACUACACUAUCACUACAAAUGACGGAAGUAGAAAAGAGGUUGCAGAUUAUAGAAGCAAAAAACCUAAGCCAGCAGCAUGGCUCAAAACAUGCGGAACUAAGCCAGCAGCAUGGCUCAAAACAUGCGGACCUAGGAGGUGACGUUGGGAAACACCUAAAAACCCAAAACCUACAAACUAACACUAUUUUACAUACAGCUGCAGGUACAUCAACAUCAGCAAUAAGAAAAGGAAAACAUAAAAUACAAAUAUGAACGCCAUGUUCAACAAGCCAUAUACCCCAAAAUCCCAAAAUCCUUUGACACCAUCACCACAAACAACUAGCUAUAGAG
Molecule: long non-coding RNA, 1536 nt
Filed under: Nicotiana tabacum (common tobacco)
Lineage: Eukaryota; Viridiplantae; Streptophyta; Magnoliopsida; Solanales; Solanaceae
Description: long non-coding RNA (NTAB_LNC002799)
Source: RNAcentral